AACGAACGCUGGCGGCAUGCCUAACACAUGCAAGUCGAACGACUCCUUCGGGUCUAGUGGCGCACGGGUGCGUAACGCGUGGGAACCUGCCCUUAGGUUCGGCAUAACUCCCCGAAAGGGGUGCUAAUACCGGAUAAUGUCUUCGGACCAAAGAUUUAUCGCCUUUGGAUGGGCCCGCGUUGGAUUAGCUAGUUGGUAGGGUAAAAGCCUACCAAGGCGACGAUCCAUAGCUGGUCUGAGAGGAUGAUCAGCCACACUGGGACUGAGACACGGCCCAGACUCCUACGGGAGGCAGCAGUGGGGAAUAUUGGACAAUGGGCGAAAGCCUGAUCCAGCAAUGCCGCGUGAGUGAUGAAGGCCUUAGGGUUGUAAAGCUCUUUUACCCGGGAUGAUAAUGACAGUACCGGGAGAAUAAGCUCCGGCUAACUCCGUG
RNAcentral lists this ribosomal RNA (433 nucleotides) under uncultured bacterium. RNAcentral describes it as "partial 16S ribosomal RNA". It matches the Rfam family "Bacterial small subunit ribosomal RNA", at positions 29 to 507 of the family's 1533-position model. The record is from RNAcentral.